UUCAAAAAGCAUCUGUCCAUAUAUACUUACAUAAUUUAUAAUAAGCAGGCCGGGUUUUGCUUAUUCCGGUAAAAAGAGAAGAUGUUAGAAGAAGGAUCCACCUAUUUUCAGUCUUACGGGUUAUAUAUAUGUAACUUUUGCAAAUCAUGAAAAUUGAUGUUGCUUUGGUUUCUUGGAAAGAGCAAGCACGUUUUUUGUUUCAAGACACCCAAUGAAUUUCUAUGAUCUUAAAUGGAGGGGGAAGGGUUUGGGCAAGACAUAGGCCUGUGGCCCUCAUGGAAGCUCAAGU
This 289-nucleotide long non-coding RNA is filed under the name Helianthus annuus (common sunflower). RNAcentral's name for it is "sRNA HanXRQr2_Chr11g0514631". Lineage: Eukaryota; Viridiplantae; Streptophyta; Magnoliopsida; Asterales; Asteraceae. The record is from RNAcentral.